Molecule: ribosomal RNA, 253 nt
Filed under: uncultured bacterium
Lineage: Bacteria
Description: partial 16S ribosomal RNA
Rfam family: Bacterial small subunit ribosomal RNA
Source: RNAcentral
UACAGAGGGGGCAAGCGUUGUUCGGAAUUACUGGGCGUAAAGGGCGCGUAGGCGGCCUGUUAAGUCGAACGUGAAAUCCCUGGGCUCAACCCAGGAACUGCGUCCGAUACUGGCAGGCUUGAAUUCGGGAGAGGGAUGCGGAAUUCCAGGUGUAGCGGUGAAAUGCGUAGAUAUCUGGAGGAACACCGGUGGCGAAGGCGGCAUCCUGGACCGACAUUGACGCUGAGGCGCGAAAGCCAGGGGAGCAAACGGG